AGGGUUGUGGCUCAAUGGUAGAGUGCUUGCCUAGCACAGGUAAGGCACUGAGUUCGAUCCUCAGCACCCCAU
This is a non-coding RNA of Ictidomys tridecemlineatus (thirteen-lined ground squirrel), 72 nucleotides long. The record is from Rfam. Lineage: Eukaryota; Metazoa; Chordata; Mammalia; Rodentia; Sciuridae.